RNAcentral lists this ribosomal RNA (732 nucleotides) under uncultured fungus. RNAcentral's name for it is "eukaryotic LSU rRNA". The stretch from base 216 to 370 matches the Rfam family "5.8S ribosomal RNA". Lineage: Eukaryota; Fungi. The record is from RNAcentral.
UGCGGAAGGAUCAUUACCGAACCGCCGACACGAGUUGUUGCUGGUCUCCAAACGGGGGCACGUGCACGCUCUGUUUGUGCAUCCACUCACACCUGUGCACCUUCUGUAGUUCUGUGGCCUGGGGGACUCGUCCUCCUGCCGUGGUUCUGCAUCUUUACACUCACGCUGUGAUAAAGUCUAAUGGAAUGCAUGCCGCGUUUAACGCAAUACAAUACAACUUUCAGCAACGGAUCUCUUGGCUCUCGCAUCGAUGAAGAACGCAGCGAAAUGCGAUAAGUAAUGUGAAUUGCAGAAUUCAGUGAAUCAUCGAAUCUUUGAACGCACCUUGCGCCCUUUGGCUAUUCCGAAGGGCAUGCCUGUUUGAGUAUCAUGAACAUCUCAACUCCUCACGGUUCGCCCGUGACGAGCUUGGACUUUGGGGGUCUUGCCGGCCUGCAGGUCGGCUCCUCUCAAAUGAAUCAGCUUGCCGGUGUUUGGUGGCGUCACAGGUGUGAUAACUAUCUACGCUUGUGGUUUUCCGCCAGGUAACCUCCAGCAAUGGGGGUUCACCGGAGCUCACAAAUGUCUCUCUCCUCGGUGAGAACNGCUCUUUGAACGUUUGAUCUCAAAUCAGGUAGGACUACCCGCUGAACUUAAGCAUAUCAAUAAGCGGAGGAAAAGAAACUAACAAGGAUUCCCCUAGUAACUGCGAGUGAAGCGGGAAGAGCUCAAAUUUAAAAUCUGGCGUGCCUA